This 497-nucleotide ribosomal RNA is filed under the name uncultured bacterium. RNAcentral describes it as "partial 16S ribosomal RNA". It matches the Rfam family "Bacterial small subunit ribosomal RNA", at positions 28 to 507 of the family's 1533-position model. The record is from RNAcentral.
GAUGAACGCUGGCGGCGUGCCUAAUACAUGCAAGUCGAGCGAACAGAUAAGGAGCUUGCUCCUUUGACGUUAGCGGCGGACGGGUGAGUAACACGUGGGUAACCUACCUAUAAGACUGGGAUAACUUCGGGAAACCGGAGCUAAUACCGGAUAACAUUUGGAACCGCAUGGUUCUAAAGUGAAAGAUGGUUUUGCUAUCACUUAUAGAUGGACCCGCGCCGUAUUAGCUAGUUGGUAAGGUAACGGCUUACCAAGGCAACGAUACGUAGCCGACCUGAGAGGGUGAUCAGCCACACUGGAACUGAGACACGGUCCAGACUCCUACGGGAGGCAGCAGUAGGGAAUCUUCCGCAAUGGGCGAAAGCCUGACGGAGCAACGCCGCGUGAGUGAUGAAGGGUUUCGGCUCGUAAAACUCUGUUAUUAGGGAAGAACAAACGCGUAAGUAACUGUGCACGUCUUGACGGUACCUAAUCAGAAAGCCACGGCUAACUACGUG